UGAGGCCUAUAGGAAGACAGGCUUUGUGGGAAGGAUGCUGGGCCCCAAGGAAUACCUCAGGGAUAAGCUGGGGCUCUAGGGUCCUGUUGGCCAGUGACUGAUGCCAGAGGCCCUGAGCAGCCAGAACUGCUGUCACGCUCUGAGAAGUGGAGAGGGGAGGGAGAACCAGGCUGUUGACUCUCCAGCAAGUGGGGUGAGCUGUCUCGACUCCUUCACGAAGGCCAAGCAAGCUGCAGCUCUCAGAGGAAAGCAAGCCUCCUUUUCCACUGCCACUUCCUCCUCCCAGAGCUCGGCUGUGUCAGCACCCACGUGUGCUGCUCAGACCGUGGUUUGCCACUGCUGUGGCUAGCCUAGGUCUCAGGAAGUGACUCUCUUUUGGGUUCUCUCUGGGUUGGCCGUCACACUUUCCGACGGCUGAGGGGCCCCAGCGGAAACCCAGACACCCAGACGGCUUGUCCUGGAGUGCUUCUGGGUACAGCUUUGCUCCCAUCCACGGAGGGCUUUGAGGGAUGAGAAGAAGCCUGGAGAGGCCACGUGUGAGAGUCUCUGCGGCCCUGCCUGGCCUGGAACUUGGAGUGAUCCUCCUGCCUCUUCUUCCUGGGGGCUGGGAUCACAGUUUUUCUCUGUGAUGCCCCACACAUGAGUGCCUUCUGCUCAGGCCACUCAGAAAGCGGACCUGGCAGGCCUGAAGUGGACAUGGGACAGUAGGCUCUGGAGGGCAUCAUGUUUCCCAUUCCAUGGAGCAGUGUGUGCAGCCUCUGGCCUUCCGGCCCUGAGCCUUUGGAGAGACUGCUCGGCUCGCUGCUGGAAUCCCACACUGGGAGGAGCUGCGCCACCUAGUGGACCUUUCGCCAUCUUGGUGGUAGAGCUCGCACAGACGCCACCUCCAGUUUGACGCUUGGGUAGGACCCAAACGGAAGCCGCUGUCCAGCUCUCAGGACUGACGAGAUGAAGCCAGCCGUGAGUGGUAGAACCGAGAGGGAACAACCGUGGCGUUUUGGAGGGAAAUUAUCGCUCACUAGCUGAAAUUUAAGUUAAAGGGAAAGGUCUUUUUGACCUGGAAACAGCUUGUUCCUGUCAUCCAGGUUGUUGCAGAUAGAGGGACCACUGUUUAGGGUCCUAAGUUCCUCCCUCCUCUGUCAGCUUUCUUGCAGGCUGAGCAAGGCUAAUCACAGUAGAGCUGGCGCAGCCUAGAGGGAGCUGCUGGCUUUCCUCUGACGUCAGGGCCUGGAAAUCCCAUUUUAAGCAGGUUCUUGGGAGGUUGGAACACCCACAAGAAGGGAGGAGAAGCCAGAUGAAGCAACUUCAAGCCUGAGGCCGUCAGAGUCUGGAACCCAGGCCUGCAGGGCUGCCUAAUGUUCCCGGGAGACCCGGAAACGUGACGCAGCGCUAGACCCUUAGCCCUCAAGCUAAAGCCUCUCAGAGGCUCUUGAGAACCCUUUGAUUUAGUGCCCUCCACCUAGCUCUAGCCUGAGAAGACCUGAGGCAAAGGAGAGAGGGCAGGUGGACCUAGGGAAUGAGGACAUCAUGAGGUUUCUCAUACCAGGGAGUCCCACCAGCCAACUUCUCCUGAAAGGCUUUCCGACUAUUCUUUCUGUCACCCUCCAUCUCUCCUCUCCUCCCCUGCAUCACGGGGGGCAGGCCCUGUGCCCAGAGUUCUGGAAGCCUGAAUGUUUCCAUGGCAACAGAACAAAGAGCUUGGAAAUCUGAACAUGUUCCUUUUGACACACACACACACACAACCCAGAUGUAUAUAUAGAGAAUGGUCACGUGGUAGCCAGCAGUAGUCGCGACACCAAUGUGUGUGUGUGUGUGUGUGUUAUGCAGCAAAUAAAUACAAUGUAUACAGAA
This is a long non-coding RNA of Meriones unguiculatus (Mongolian gerbil), 1851 nucleotides long. RefSeq lists it as uncharacterized. NCBI's taxonomy places the organism in Eukaryota, Metazoa, Chordata, Mammalia, Rodentia, Muridae. The record is from RefSeq and is a predicted model, not a curated record. The transcript is spliced from 3 exons.